UAGGCAAAACAUACAUAUACAUCUACA
RNAcentral lists this non-coding RNA (27 nucleotides) under Rattus norvegicus (Norway rat). Lineage: Eukaryota; Metazoa; Chordata; Mammalia; Rodentia; Muridae. The record is from RNAcentral.